GUGGCCACAUCCCUCACCCCACAGCCUGGCGCCCUUUCUCAUGAACGCCGGCGCUCCUUGGUCCGGCCAACGCUCCCCUUCGUCACCACCGCCGGUACUCCCUGGUCAGGUGGAGGCUCCCCUUCGCAGUCGCUGCUCUUCCUCCCCUUCAUGUCGAAUCGGUCGCCGAAGUGGCCGGGGAGGCCCUCGAGGUCGGCAUGCUCGCGCCAAUGCUAGGCGCCGGUGGAGGCAGAGGCGGAGGCGUGGCACUCGCAUGCGCCUUCUCUACCCCGCUCCUUCUCCGAAUCCGGUGGCCGAAGUGCUCGAGGAGGCGCUCAAGCUCGGCAUGCUCGCCGGCAACGGGCUUCUCGCUCCUCCAGAUGCCCUCGCCGUCGCCGCCAUGAGCCUCUCCAUCGUCUCUUGCGCGGUCGUCUGGGCCCAAGCAAGUCUCUCUCUCCAACCCCGCCGCCUGCUCCACCCCUGUCAAUUCGGUUCGUCGCCAGGUGCAUCGCCUCAUUGAGAAAUCACCAUGAAUGUUCCCAAGACCAUGUCUAAUUUAUUCUGUUAUAGGGCUUUGUUAGAAAAGCUGAUUUAACUAAGUAUUAUUCUGCUCUAGAUUGCAGCACUGGUUGACAUGAUACAAUAUCUUUUCAAAAGAUGAUACAUUAUCUUCAUGAAAGAAAGGAAGUUGGAGAAGUUAUUAUUUAAGAGGAAUUCAGUGUCAUGUGGUUCUCAAGAGCUAAAAUGGAACAACAAGUGCAAGCCUGUCAUGCCUACACUAACUAAUCAGAUUUCCCGAGGGAGAAGAAGGAGGUGCCGAAAGGGUAUGGGAGUAACAAGUCUGAAUCGAAGAGUAUAUAUGUUUUGAUUUUGAGUUGCAUUGCCCAGUAUUUUUAUUGUUCUAAGAAAUCCAUGGAGAUGUCUAUGGAACAUUUCCUUGAUGUGAUAGGCAUAUUUGUUUACCACAUUCAGUUGUUGGCCCUGCUGUUGACGUCCAUGGUGGCGCUGAUGAUGAUCUUGGCAAGGGUAAUGCUUUGAUUUCAUAGACCUGUUGCUUUGAUAGCUAGAGAAUUAAUUUCUCAAGGACUUUGUGAUUUAGUGCUCUUAUGGUAUUUCAUAAAUCUGGCAAUAUAAAAUUAAUAUCUAAUUCUGGUUAUGUAA
Molecule: long non-coding RNA, 1140 nt
Organism: Triticum aestivum (bread wheat)
Lineage: Eukaryota; Viridiplantae; Streptophyta; Magnoliopsida; Poales; Poaceae
Exons: 2
Source: RefSeq, a predicted model, not a curated record